Long non-coding RNA from Parus major (Great Tit), 4567 nucleotides. RefSeq lists it as uncharacterized. The transcript has 5 exons. The record is from RefSeq and is a predicted model, not a curated record. Lineage: Eukaryota; Metazoa; Chordata; Aves; Passeriformes; Paridae.
AACAAUCUGCUCUCUGGAAAUUGCUGCAAUGCUUGUCAAAAGUCACUGUUUUAUCCCGUAAUUUUCUACAAGGAGAACACAGUGGAGGCCAAGCCAGCAGCAGUCCUCCUGAACUUCAGGCUGGAUUCAUUUAGUGGAUUGGAACUCCUAGGCCAAAGAUCUCUUGAGCUUUGUUUCCUGAAAGACUUCACUUGGGUGUUUCUAAGACAACUUGAUGUUCCUCAGCUGGGCAGAAGGCAUUCAAGCAGUAUACCUCUCCAGAGAAGUGGGAAUCUUAAGCUUGAAAGACUCCUGAGGCAAAUGGUAUUUCAGUCUCAUUGAAAUCCAGCGAGGCACCAAGCACUGAACAAAAACCCCCCAGAAAUUACAGAAGAAAUAACAGGAGAGACUUGAAAUCACCUGAAUCAAUAGGAGUUCUUACCCUGCCCUGCAGAUAGGAAUUAAGGCUGAUCAGGACAUACUCUUUGUCCUAGUACUACUCUGAAACAAAGAAAGAUGAGGACUGGAAUUGCAGAUUCAGAGAAGGCAAGUAAGUUUCCAGUCUAAGAGUUAAGAAAAGAGAAGCAAUCAUUCAAUCAGAAUCAUUCAAGUUAGUAUUUAAUGAUAGACUGAAACUUGCAUUUGGGAAAUCACUUCAUAACUUACCCCAGAUAAAAUGAAAAGAGUAGUACCUUUUACCUGAAAGACAAAAAAAAGUAGUAUUUUUCUCAACCAUCUACUUAAGAAAAUUGGGUAUAAAUUGAUACGAAUUGGUUAUUGAAGCAGAGGCACCACUAAAACUGUGACUGAUUCUAUUAAGUCCUCUCCCAUUUUGUCCUGCAAAACAAUCUCAUAUUCUCAUUAGAAUGUCUGGAGACAGCUCUGUGAGUGACUACAGAUUUCUUUUCAAGAGUCUGUAAAUGUUUCAGAUGCAUCUGAGAGGCCAUACACCGGUUACACAUUAACAUUUGCCAAAAAUACUGACACUUCAUUGUUACUGAACUAACAUAACACAGCUAUUCAUACUUGGCCACCUACCUACGCAUUCCAAUAUACAAAACACUGUGAGGGAAGAAAAUUGAAGUGGGAUCAUCAUUUGGCAGAUACAUAUCAUAAAUUAGCGAUCUUCCCAAGGCUUUUCACUGAACCAACAUCGCAGCUAAAUAGCUGUCACCGGUAAGAACUAUGCUCACACUGUAAGGAAAUGGAGUAAGAAGAAAUCAUUAAUACAAACAUUAUUAAACAGUUAUUGAUUCUUCGGAAGAUAAACUGAGAGGGACAUACAAACAUUCUCAGUUGUAUCAAGGCACCAAGGUAAGGAGUGCCAGUUAUUGAAAGCUGCUUGAGUCAGGACCCUGAGUGAAGCAUAAGGGGUCACUUAUGUCAUGACAACCUUUGUCCACCUGUUGAGGAGCUUGGCUGCCUGUGCUCGGGGCAAGACUGUCACCUGGGAUCAGGUGCUGUGAAAUAGGCCUGUGGGACAUUCCCACUGGGGGCUUCUUGUCUGUUGAGAGGUAUGUUCACACUCAGAUGUGAGGUUGCAGGUGUGCCAGCUCCUGGUUCUGUGACCUGUGAAGAUCACAGGUCUGAUCUCUGGUCUGAUCUCCAGUCUGUUGUCACUUGGCUACCUGGCUUGACCACACACCUGUUUUGUCACUACUGAUUUUUCUGGCAGUGAAUGAUUUCUGGCUAAUCUUGGUUGCCACUGCCAAACCUGCUUUGCUGUUUUUGCUCAGGUAUUAUGGGGAAGUAGUUCCCACUGGUCUUGCUGUCCCCCUUUGUGCCUGGUUGGAGUUCUGUGGGUGGCUCACCUGCUCCAGGCCACCAGCUGCCCUGGUGAGAAGGGGACAGUGUUUCCAGCCCCUGGGCGGUUAGCUGGAGCCACCAACAGGCACAUUUCUCACUUGGCUUCCUUAGAGAAGAACUUCAAGGAAUUUCGAUACUUGUGUUUCAAAUGGAAGGAAGCAGGACACAUAGGAACCAGAUUUCCUCUAAUUAAUACCACAAGACACAUUUAUUUUGGUGGGAGAGACUGUAGCCAAUUGUAAAUACCUUUAUAAAUGUUUUUGGAAUUGAUGGUCUACUUUUGCAAGCCUCUCCAGAUCCUUACGACCUUCAAGACUUCCAUCUGUUAUCCAAAAUGAAACACUAAUGGAUAUAGUUUUACAGAGUAUGUUAAUUAAAAAAAAAAAAAAAAAAGUAAUGCUGAAAUCACUGACAUACUUGGUUAGUGUUUUGUAAUUAAUAUUUUUCCCCCUUUUAAAACCACUAAAGCACUUUGUGGACUGUUACUCUGCCACUACUAUCAAAUAAGGUAGGAAAUAUUUUAGAAUAUUUUGAUUCCUAUUUUUACUCCAAUUUACAUUAUGGCAUAUUAAAGAUUUCCAUUGUUCAAAUUGGUGAACUGAUGUUUAAAUGUCUUUACACUUUUCAUCAUGGAUUUGAUAUAACUAAUGUAACUAAUUAGUACUGAAGUACAACUUUUAUCACAUUUUUGCAGAUAUACUUUUAAAACAUUUAUUCUGAUUAUUUGUUUAUUAAGAUAUGCUAAUUCAAAUAAAAAUGUUGAUUUGAUUUAGUAAGAACUCUGACAUCUGUUCAUAAUCCUUCAUAUAAAACUCCUAACAAGAAUUCUGUUAGUCCCGUAACAUAGUGGUAUUACUGUAAAUGUCACAAAGGGUUUAUGUUUUUACCAUUUUAAACAAAGAUGUUCAAUGCUAAUACCUAUUCCUCAACUAUCUUUUUGAAACCACUAUCCUGAGAAGUAAAUAAUGUUUGGAAGAAGGCAAAUUUUUAAUGCAGAGCAGCACAGUCAUCAAUAGCCUACAAAAUACACUUUAAAAAUCAUGCUUUUGCAAACAUGGCACAGACUCUGCUGUAGCACUGAAUGCUCUAAAAGCUGCAGAUAUAUUUUAGAAAACACUGAUGAAGCCAUUACUGCUUCAUGCAUUUGUUCAUAGUAUAUAUCAUUAUUCAAGAAAUUUAAGAACCAUAAUGAUGGAAAAUCACACAGAAAGAAAAGGAACAUGGACUUUGUCAGAAACAAGGGCUACAUUUUUAUUCAAGAGGCCUAUAAUGAUGGAAAAUCACAGUGAAAGGCAGAGACGAAACAGGGAUCCCAUAAAGGGACUGACACACCACAGUGGCACAAGUAGUAGAACCGUCACAGCAAGUGGAUAAAAAUAAAGAAAACAAAAUUAACUAGAGAAGAGCUGGAUUCCAGGAUGAAGCAGAAAACAGAAGCAAAUCACAGUAAAUGCUGAAGAUUAAUUUCAAAGAAUCUGCUGAGAAUGAGUGCAGAGACAAGUUCCAUCAAUAUUAAUGAAACUGAAAUAGAACUCCAAAUGACCAUGAGUACAAAAUGGCACACAAAGCAUUUUCUUUUAAAUAGGUUGGAGAUUAGAUCAUAAGACCUUCCCAAAAAUGAACAGAAUACACAAAAGAUGUUAUUAUGGGAAAAACGAUAAACAAUCACAACAUAAUUAAUAUUUCUAUAGUUCUUUUUUAAGAUUUAUCAGCAUGCACAUUUAUUAUAAAAGGAUGGUUCAUAGAAGAGAUAUUUAGGAAAAUAAGCAGAGAAGAGUAUUUUCUCAUGUACAAUGUUCCACAAAUAUCUUAAAGGGAUCUUGUAUAACUUCAAGUAGCUGUCUUUGACUCAUUUUUUUUAAGCAGUCUAAAAGAGCUAGAUACCUCAAAUCCUUAAUAAUAUGUUCCAUUUUAGGUUUAUAUAAUGCACAAGGAAAUGUUAUUGCCCACCUUGAAGUGAAAAAAACAAUAACUGUUACAUAUAAGUUGACAGUCAAAGUUCUGUGCAGUCAGGAAAUAAGCUUUUCUUCCUAAAUUACUUAAGCUGCCCACUCGUAUUACACAGCCAUGAGUAUAGGCUGUGGAUCUUUCAGAGAUUCUUGUAUUCUUGACAUUAAAAAGUUUUGUCCCACCGGCUGACAACUGUAUUCACUUCUCAUCAGAUAGCCUAUGUUUAGAAACAAAGGGUCACACUUUAAAGACCUGAUUUUUAAAAAAGACCAACACCAAUGUGUAAUUUCUUGGAUGAUGUUGUCAGGAGUCCUGUAAAUUGUGACUGGCAUGUCAAAUACUGUAAAAUCUUUAGCAGAAGAGCAGAGCGAGUACCUUUUCCGAUAAAAAUUGCUCUUUCCUAUGAACGUUCAUUGUGACAGGCAAAAUUUCAGUGUCACAGAGAGAGAGGCACUAUCAAUCUGUUUCACUUAUGUAAAAAAUUAAACUAUUAAAGGCUUUUUCAUUUGUCAUAAGAGUGGCCACAUCUUUCUUCUCAUAGCAGGUCACUGAUGUUAUUUCAGUGCCUUCCCACAGCUGAUCAGCAGUAGUUCUCUACUUUAGGGUUCUCAAUGCGCCUGCUGCCAAUGCAUAAACCUUUCUUUUACAUUGUAGUAAAGAUGUGAUGAUCUAAAUAAAGCUAUUGAGAGGAAUAAAAAUACUUUGUAGGGCAAGGUUUUGGUUUAAAAGGGAGACUGGGAUAUAAAAUACUGGAAUAAGUGUAAAAAUGAUGUAGAUUAGGUUUGGCAGAAAAACAGUUAUUUGUGGUAGGCCAUACUCUCGUGUUUCUUCA